This 484-nucleotide ribosomal RNA is filed under the name uncultured bacterium. RNAcentral describes it as "partial 16S ribosomal RNA". It matches the Rfam family "Bacterial small subunit ribosomal RNA", at positions 30 to 507 of the family's 1533-position model. The record is from RNAcentral.
AUUGAACGCUGGCGGCAGGCCUGACACAUGCAAGUCGAGCGGAUGAAGGGAGCUUGCUCCUGGAUUCAGCGGCGGACGGGUGAGUAAUGCCUAGGAAUCUGCCUGGUAGUGGGGGAUAACGUCCGGAAACGGGCGCUAAUACCGCAUACGUCCUGAGGGAGAAAGUGGGGGAUCUUCGGACCUCACGCUAUCAGAUGAGCCUAGGUCGGAUUAGCUAGUUGGUGGGGUAAAGGCCUACCAAGGCGACGAUCCGUAACUGGUCUGAGAGGAUGAUCAGUCACACUGGAACUGAGACACGGUCCAGACUCCUACGGGAGGCAGCAGUGGGGAAUAUUGGACAAUGGGCAAAAGCCUGAUCCAGCCAUGCCGCGUGUGUGAAGAAGGUCUUCGGAUUGUAAAGCACUUUAAGUUGGGAGGAAGGGCAGUAAGUUAAUACCUUGCUGUUUUGACGUUACCAACAGAAUAAGCACCGGCUAACUUCGUG